Molecule: small RNA, 86 nt
Filed under: Sinorhizobium meliloti 2011
Lineage: Bacteria; Pseudomonadati; Pseudomonadota; Alphaproteobacteria; Hyphomicrobiales; Rhizobiaceae
Description: putative ncRNA
Source: RNAcentral
GAGUUAGCAAUUGAACGUGCUUAAGGAGAACAUCAGAAGCCACUCCUAAGUCGAUCUCGGGCCACCUGAUCGAGGCGAUAGCCUUU